AGCAGCCGCGGUAAUUCCAGCUCCAAUAGCGUAUAUUAAAGUUGUUGCAGUUAAAAAGCUCGUAGUUGAAUUUCGGGAUCAAUAUGUCGGUCGUGCCUUCGGUACGUACUGGUAUCAUUGGUCUCUCCUUUCUGACGAACCAUGAUGUCAUUAAUUUGGUGUUAUGGGGAGUUAGGACUGUUACUUUGAAAAAUUAGAGUGUUUAAAGCAGGCUUUAGCUUGAAUACAUUAGCAUGGAAUAAUGAAAUAGGACGUUCGAACCUAUUUUGUUGGUUUCUAGGAUCAACGUAAUGAUUAAUAGGGAUAGUUGGGGGCAUUAGUAUUCAAUUGUCAGAGGUGAAAUUCUUGGAUUUAUUGAAGACUAACUACUGCGAAAGCAUUUGCCAAGGAUGUUUUCAUUAAUCAAGAACGAAAGUUAGGGGAUCGAAGACGAUCAGAUACCGUCGUAGUCUUAACCAUAAACUAUGCCG
Molecule: ribosomal RNA, 470 nt
Filed under: uncultured Glomus
Lineage: Eukaryota; Fungi; Glomeromycota; Glomeromycetes; Glomerales; Glomeraceae
Description: SSU rRNA
Rfam family: Eukaryotic small subunit ribosomal RNA
Source: RNAcentral